UCUCGAUUGGUCUAGUGGUCAGGAUACCUGCUUGUCAUGAAACAAGCCGCAGGUGGCCGGGGUUCGAUUCCCCGAUCGAGAG
This is a non-coding RNA of Xylaria digitata, 82 nucleotides long. Lineage: Eukaryota; Fungi; Ascomycota; Sordariomycetes; Xylariales; Xylariaceae. The record is from the annotation of a GenBank genome assembly.